RNAcentral lists this long non-coding RNA (849 nucleotides) under Mytilus galloprovincialis (Mediterranean mussel). Lineage: Eukaryota; Metazoa; Mollusca; Bivalvia; Mytilida; Mytilidae. The record is from RNAcentral.
UUGAAAACUGUACAUUUGAUAAUAAUGUACUACUUGUUACAUAUGAUAUAACAUCACUAUAUACCAAUCUCAGAUUUGAAGAAAUCACAAAAGCAUUACAAAAAGCGCUUGAUGAACAUGACAAAUUUGAAUAUUCUAUAACAAAACCUACCAACAAAUUUUUGAUUGAAAUAAAAAAACUCAUCCUUUCCAAUAAUGAAUUUACCUUUCAUGGAAAUUCAUAUCGCCAAAUCAUUGGAGCAUCAAUGGGAGCAACAGCUUCCCCUGAAAUAUGUGACAUUGCUAUUUACAAUCACAUAAACUCAAUCCUUAAAAACUCUCCAAUCUCUGAAAAAAUAAUUUUUCAUAAAAGAAUGAGAGAUGAUGGACUUCUAAUGGUGAAAGCAAAAGAGUCUGAAAUUGACUUUAUGUUUGAAAAUGCAAAUAAACAACAUGACCUGCUAAAGUUCACUUACGAAUGCAAUAAACAGUCCAUAAAAUUUCUAGACCUAGAAAUCUUCAAGGGCGAACGCUUCAAAAAUACUGGUGUUUUAGACCUGAAAUGUUUUACAAAGAAAACUGAAAAAUUCCAAUAUCUUCAUAAAAACUCAAACCAUCCCAUCUCAAACUUUAAAUCUUUUAUUAAAGGCGAAGGCAUUCGUAUACUUAGAAACACCAACAAUGAAAGUGAAUUUCAAACCAGAAAAAAUCUCUUUAUUGAAAAACUGUUAGUAAGAGGAUAUAAACGGAAAUUGAUAGAACAAAUUCUAUCAAAAAUCAAAUUCCAAGACAGACAAAUUAAAUUAAAGAAAAAGAACAAAGUUGAAAAUAAAUACAAUGUAUCAUUCAUUACAAAUUAUCAUCCUCAAG